AACGAACGCUGGCGGCAUGCUUAACACAUGCAAGUCGCACGAGAAGUAAUUCUAGUGUCGCACGGGUGAGUAACACGUGGGAAUCUACCCUAAAGUCGUGGAUAACUAUUGGAAACGGUAGCUAAUACAGGAUGUGCUGGAGACAGUAAAGUAGCAAUACGCUUUAGGAUGAGCCCGCGGUCGAUUAGCUAGUUGGUGAGGUAAGAGCUUACCAAGGCGAUGAUCGAUAGCUGUUCUGAGAGGAAGAGCAGCCACACUGGGACUGAGACACGGCCCAGACUCCUGCGGGAGGCAGCAGUGGGGAAUUUUGGACAAUGGGGGCAACCCUGAUCCAGCAAUGCCGCGUGAGUGAAGAAGGCCUUAGGGUUGUAAAGCUCUUUUACCGAUGAAGAUGAUGACGGUAGUCGGAGAAUAAGUUCCGGCAAACUUCGUGCCAGCAGCCGC
This 444-nucleotide ribosomal RNA is filed under the name uncultured bacterium. Its description in RNAcentral is "bacterial SSU rRNA". It matches the Rfam family "Bacterial small subunit ribosomal RNA", at positions 29 to 518 of the family's 1533-position model. The record is from RNAcentral.